This 645-nucleotide non-coding RNA is filed under the name Pan troglodytes (chimpanzee). Lineage: Eukaryota; Metazoa; Chordata; Mammalia; Primates; Hominidae. The record is from RNAcentral.
AUCCAAUGACUUGUCAGCCAGAGUAACGGCUGUCGUCAGGUCUUCAGGGUCUCGAGGUCGGUUUCUUCCUAACGCCGCCAACCCCAAGCUAAGGUAGACAUGAUAGCCAAGGCAGCUGAUUGUCCCGAAGAAUAAGUAUGAGCACAGAGGGAAAAUCAUGAAACAUCUGAGGACCAUGAGAACUGCUAAAACAAUACAUAGAACUAGCUAUACCAGAGAAAGUCAAGUGAAUGGAUCAGACAAUAAGAAUUGAAAAUAAGCUUAAUAGAGCUUCAGAGAAAGAAGGGAGAAUGUUGGAAACACAAAGCACAAACAAGCAUUUGUGAAUUGGAUGUUGACAAAUAUUAAUGAAAUAACUCAAUGGAUGGGUUGAAUAUAGCUGGACAGUUCACUCAUGAACCGGAAGAUUAGAGCAAGGAAGGAACUAAGAAAUGGAAAGCAUGAAAGGAGAGUUAAGAAAUGUGGAAGGUAGAAGCAUAAAUAUUUUUCUAAUGGAAAUUCCAGAAGGGGAAAAAAAAGAACAUGUGAAAGAAUUAUUGCUGAGAAUUUCCCAGAAUUGAAGACAUACUUUAGAAUGAAAAAGGCCAACUCUAACUUUGGGAUUUCUAGCUUCGGAGGAAUGAAAAUUUAGAAUGACCAAGGGGA